ACAAAGGCUUAAUGCUAUUUUUGCUUUUUGCCUCUUCCCCCAUACAAGUGAAAAUCCUCGGAUUUCUUUCAGUUUAUGAAAACAGGUACUAAUAUAGGUCGUUGGUGAAAGAGAAGUGGUGUCAAGUGAAUUUUUGAAAAGCGGGAGAUACCUAUAUCCUAUCUGAGAAGACCCACCGAUCGAAUCCAAUAGAAAAGUUGAGGUGUGAACUUAAUUAUAAUCAUUGUCUCUGGAAAACUGUGCAUCACUGACAUUCAAAUUGACUGGUGUCUUUAUAAGAAGAGGAAGAGAUGCCAAGAGGGUGAGCGCACGGAGGAAAGGCC
Molecule: long non-coding RNA, 323 nt
Organism: Molossus molossus (Pallas's mastiff bat)
Lineage: Eukaryota; Metazoa; Chordata; Mammalia; Chiroptera; Molossidae
Exons: 3
Source: RefSeq, a predicted model, not a curated record